GAUGAACGCUGGCGGCGUGCCUAAUACAUGCAAGUCGAGCGAACAGAUGAGGAGCUUGCUCCUCUGACGUUAGCGGCGGACGGGUGAGUAACACGUGGAUAACCUACCUAUAAGACUGGGAUAACUUCGGGAAACCGGAGCUAAUACCGGAUAAUAUAUUGAACCGCAUGGUUCAAUAGUGAAAGACGGUUUUGCUGUCACUUAUAGAUGGAUCCGCGCCGCAUUAGCUAGUUGGUAAGGUAACGGCUUACCAAGGCAACGAUGCGUAGCCGACCUGAGAGGGUGAUCGGCCACACUGGAACUGAGACACGGUCCAGACUCCUACGGGAGGCAGCAGUAGGGAAUCUGCCGCAAUGGGCGAAAGCCUGACGGAGCAACGCCGCGUGAGUGAUGAAGGUCUUCGGAUCGUGAAACUCUGUUAUUAGGGAAGAACAAAUGUGUAAGUAACUAUGCACGUCUUGACGGUACCUGAUCAGGAAGCCACGGCUAACUACGUG
Molecule: ribosomal RNA, 497 nt
Filed under: uncultured bacterium
Lineage: Bacteria
Description: partial 16S ribosomal RNA
Rfam family: Bacterial small subunit ribosomal RNA
Source: RNAcentral